RNAcentral lists this ribosomal RNA (253 nucleotides) under uncultured bacterium. RNAcentral's name for it is "partial 16S ribosomal RNA". It matches the Rfam family "Bacterial small subunit ribosomal RNA", at positions 524 to 776 of the family's 1533-position model. The record is from RNAcentral.
UACGGAGGAGGCAAGCGUUAUCCGGAAUUAUUGGGCGUAAAGCGUCUGUAGGUGGCUUUUUAAGUCUGCCGUCAAAUCCCAGGGCUUAACCCUGGACAGGCGGUGGAAACUACCAAGCUGGAGUACGGUAGGGGCAGGGGGAAUUUCCGGUGGAGCGGUGAAAUGCGUAGAGAUCGGAAAGAACACCAACGGCGAAAGCACUCUGCUGGGCCGACACUGACACUGAGAGACGAAAGCUAGGGGAGCGAAUGGG